Molecule: ribosomal RNA, 376 nt
Filed under: uncultured bacterium
Lineage: Bacteria
Description: bacterial SSU rRNA
Rfam family: Bacterial small subunit ribosomal RNA
Source: RNAcentral
UACGUAGGUGGCAAGCGUUGUCCGGAUUUACUGGGCGUAAAGGGAGCGUAGGCGGAUACUUAAGUGGGAUGUGAAAUACCUGGGCUUAACUUGGGUGCUGCAUUCCAAACUGGGUGUCUAGAGUGUUGGAGAGGAAAGUGGAAUUCCUAGUGUAGCGGUGAAAUGCGUAGAGAUUAGGAAGAACACCAGUGGCGAAGGCGACUUUCUGGACAAUAACUGACGCUGAGGCUCGAAAGCGUGGGGAGCAAACAGGAUUAGAUACCCUGGUAGUCCACGCCGUAAACGAUGGGUACUAGGUGUAGGUGUUAUCGACUCCUCCUGUUCCGCCGUUAACACAAUAAGUACCCCGCCUGGGGAGUACGGUCGCAAGAUUAAA